CCUACGGGCGGCAGCAGUGAGGAAUAUUGGUCAAUGGGCGGAAGCCUGAACCAGCCAAGUCGCGUGAGGGAUGAAGGCCCUGCGGGUCGUAAACCUCUUUUGCCGGGGAGCAGAGGGCCGGACGUGUCCGGGCCGGGAGAGGACCCGGAGAAAAAGCAGCGGCGAACUCCGGGCCAGCAGCCGCGGUACGACGGAGGAUGCGAGCGUUAGCCGGAUGUAUUGGGGGGACUGGGUGCGUAGGCGGGCCUUUAAGCCGGCGGUCAAAUGUCGGGGCGCAACCCCGGCCUGCCGUCGGAACGGGGUGCCUUGAGUGGGCGAGACGUAUGCGGAAUGCGUGGUGUAGCUGUUACAUGCAUAGCUAUCACGCAGAACCCCGAUUGCGAAGGCAGCAUACCGGCGCCCUACUGACGCCGAGGCACGAAAGUGCGGGUAUCGAACAGGAUUAGAUACCCCUGUAGUC
This 460-nucleotide ribosomal RNA is filed under the name uncultured bacterium. RNAcentral's name for it is "partial 16S ribosomal RNA". It matches the Rfam family "Bacterial small subunit ribosomal RNA", at positions 338 to 795 of the family's 1533-position model. The record is from RNAcentral.